UACGUAGGGGGCAAGCGUUGUCCGGAAUUACUGGGCGUAAAGGGCGCGUAGGCGGCUUGGUAAGUCGGGGGUGAAAGUCAGCGGCUCAACCGCUGGACUGCCUUCGAGACUGCCUGGCUUGAGCAUGGUAGAGGCUGGCGGAAUUCCCGGUGUAGCGGUGGAAUGCGUAGAGAUCGGGAAGAACAUCGGUGGCGAAGGCGGCCAGCUGGGCCAUUGCUGACGCUGAGGCGCGACAGCGUGGGGAGCAAACAGG
RNAcentral lists this ribosomal RNA (253 nucleotides) under uncultured bacterium. RNAcentral describes it as "partial 16S ribosomal RNA". It matches the Rfam family "Bacterial small subunit ribosomal RNA", at positions 524 to 776 of the family's 1533-position model. The record is from RNAcentral.